RNAcentral lists this unclassified non-coding RNA (380 nucleotides) under uncultured bacterium. RNAcentral describes it as "contains 16S-23S intergenic spacer region". The record is from RNAcentral.
UCCGUGUUAACCACGGCAGUCUCUUUAGAGAGCCCAACUUAAUGCUGGCAACUAAAGACAAGGGUUGCGCUCGUUGCGGGACUUAACCCAACAUGUCACCACACGAGCUGACGACAGCCAUGCAGCACCUGUCACCUUGUGGUAUUGCUACCAAAGCCAUAUCUCUAUGGUUGUCAAGGGAUGUCAAACCCAGGUAAGGUUCUUCUCGUUGCUUCGAAUUAAACCACAUGAUCCACCGCUUGUGCGGGCCCCCGUCAAUUCCUUUGAGUUUUAGCGUUGCCGCCGUACUCCCCAGGCGGGGCACUUAAUGCGUUAGCGACGGCGUGGAUUCCGUUGGUUGGAACCCACACCUAGUGCCCAACGUUUACGGCGUGGACUAC